GACAAUGUGAGUACAGCGGUUCCUUGAUAUAGAGGAUGGAGACAGACUUGAAUGGCUGUUAAUAUCUGUUGGCUUCAGCCACGUAGGUUCGAACCCUACUGUUGUCG
This 107-nucleotide transfer RNA is filed under the name Fusarium piperis. RNAcentral describes it as "tRNA-Ser". The record is from RNAcentral. Lineage: Eukaryota; Fungi; Ascomycota; Sordariomycetes; Hypocreales; Nectriaceae.